Molecule: ribosomal RNA, 3034 nt
Filed under: Nitrospinaceae bacterium
Lineage: Bacteria; Pseudomonadati; Nitrospinota; Nitrospinia; Nitrospinales; Nitrospinaceae
Description: 23S ribosomal RNA
Rfam family: Bacterial large subunit ribosomal RNA
Source: RNAcentral
GGUCAAGCAACAAAGGGCGUAUGGUGGAUACCUUGGCGCUGAAAGACGAUGAAGGGCGUAGCAAGUUGCGAUAAGCUUCGGGAAGCCGCUAACAGGCGUUGAUCCGGAGAUUCCCGAAUCGGAAAACCGGUCUCAAGUAGUUUUGAGACAUCUUUGCCUGAAUUCAUAGGGUAGAGAGGAAAACCAGGAGAACUGAAACAUCUUAGUACCCUGAGGAACAGAAAGCAAUUGCGAUUCCCUUAGUAGCGGCGAGCGAAAUGGGAACAGCCUAAACCGGGUGUUACGUUAAAGGGUGUGCCUGUUGUACAUCCGGGGUUGCGGGUUCUGCUUUGGUGGAGGUACACAUCCACCGGAGAGUCAAAAAAGUCGUUUUUAGCUGAAACAGUCUGGAAAGGCUUACCAUAGAUGGUGAUAGUCCAGUAGGCGAAAAAAGCGACUCUCUCUGGAGCAGAUACCCAAGUAAUGCGGGACACGAGGAAUCCUGUAUGAAUCCGGGGGACCAUCUUCCAAGGCUAAAUACUCUUCAGCGACCGAUAGUGAACUAGUACCGUGAGGGAAAGGUGAAAAGUACCCCUGUGAGGGGAGUGAAAUAGUACAUGAAACCAUAUGCCUACAAACAGUGGGAGGCCGAUGUCAUGAUGCUUGCAUUGUGACCGGCUGACUGCGUACCUUUUGCAUAAUGAGCCGUCGAGUUACUAUGCGUAGCAAGGUUAAGCCGUGAGGUGUAGCCGUAGCGAAAGCGAGUCUUAAUAGGGCGUUUAGUUGCGUAGAGUAGACCCGAAGCCAUGUGAUCUACCCAUGGGCAGGGUAAAAGUCGAGUAACAUCGACUGGAGGCCCGAACGAGUUGACGUUGAAAAGUCAUUCGAUGAUCUGUGGGUAGGGGUGAAAGGCCAACCAAACAUGGCUAUAGCUGGUUCUCCCCGAAAUAGUUUUAGGACUAGCCUUGCAUAAUAAAUAGUGGCGGUAGAGCACUGGAUGGACUAGGGGCCCUACCAGGUUACCAAACCCAACCAAUCUUCGAAUUCCAUUAUUCGUAUUGCAGGAGUCAGACUGUGGGGGAUAAGCUCCAUAGUCGAAAGGGAAACAGCCCAGACCGUCAGCUAAGGUCCCAAAAUCUAUGCUCAGUGGGAAACGAUGUGAGAAGGCCCAGACAGCCAGGAGGUUGGCUUAGAAGCAGCCAUCCUUUAAAGAAAGCGUAAUAGCUCACUGGUCGAGUCGGCUCGCGCGGAAGAUUUACCGGGGCUUAAGCUGUAUACCGAAGCCGCGGACAUAAAUAUUUCCUCGGAAAUAUUUAUGUGGUAGGGGAGCGUUCUAUAUUAGGCUGAAGCCGGACCGGCAAGGACCGGUGGACGAAAUAGAAGUGAGGAUGACGGCAUGAGUAACGAUAAAGGGAGUGAAAAACUCCCUCGCCGGAAGACCAAGGGUUCCUGUCCAACGUUAAUCGGGGCAGGGUAAGUCGGCCCCUAAGGCGAGGCCGAAAGGCGUAGUCGAUGGGAAACGGGUUAAUAUUCCCGUACCACCGAAAUAGCAUUUGAGUGAUGGGGUAACGCAGGAGGGUAUACCAGCCGGGCGACGGUCGUCCCGGUUUAAGCCUGUAGUGGGAUCUUUCAGGAAAAUCCGGAGAUCAUUAACCAUGAGAGGUGAUGAAGCGUCAAAUCUUCGGAGGCGACGUAACUGGUAAAUCCCAUGCUGCCUAGAAAAACCUCUAACGAGCUGUUUAGGUGACCGUACCAAAACCAACACAGGUGGGUGAGGAGAGAAUCCUAAGGCGCUUGAGAGAACUCUGGUUAAGGAACUCGGCAAAUUAGCUCCGUAACUUCGGGAGAAGGAGUGCCCCUGGUAGGUGAAGUGACUUGCUCAUGGAGCUGAAGGGGGUUGCAAUAAAAUGGCGGCUGCGACUGUUUACUAAAAACAUAGGACUCUGCUAACUCGAAAGAGGAUGUAUAGGGUCUGACGCCUGCCCGGUGCCGGAAGGUUAAAAGGAGGAGUUAGCCCUCGGGCGAAGCUCUGAUUUGAAGCCCCGGUAAACGGCGGCCGUAACUAUAACGGUCCUAAGGUAGCGAAAUUCCUUGUCGGGUAAGUUCCGACCUGCACGAAUGGCGAAACGCUGGCCGCACUGUCUCGACCAGGGACUCAGUGAAAUUGUAAUACCGGUGAAGAUGCCGGUUACCCGCGACAGGACGGAAAGACCCCGUGCACCUUUACUAUAACCUGAUAAUGGAUUUUGGAGUAGUAUGUGUAGGAUAGGUGGGAGACUUUGAAGCUUCGGCGCUAGCCGGGGUGGAGUCAACCUUGAAAUACCACCCUUAUUAGUUUGAGGUUCUAACCUCGGACCGUGAACCCGGUUCAGGGACAUUGUCAGGCGGGUAGUUUGACUGGGGCGGUCGCCUCCAAAAAUGUAACGGAGGCGCGCGAAGGUUCUCUCAGGCUGAUUGGAAACCAGCCGUCGAGUGUAAAGGCAUAAGAGAGCUUGACUGCGAGACUGACAAGUCGAGCAGGUGGGAAACCAGGUCUUAGUGAUCCGGCGGUUCUGAAUGGAAGGGCCGUCGCUCAACGGAUAAAAGGUACGCCGGGGAUAACAGGCUUAUCGCCCCCAAGAGUCCAUAUCGACGGGGCGGUUUGGCACCUCGAUGUCGGCUCACCGCAUCCUGGGGCUGAAGCAGGUCCCAAGGGUUGGUCUGUUCGCCCAUUAAAGCGGUACGCGAGCUGGGUUUAGAACGUCGUGAGACAGUUCGGUCCCUAUCCUUCGUGGGUGUUGGAAAUUUGAGGAGAUCUGCUCCUAGUACGAGAGGACCGGAGUGGACGAACCUCUGGUUUUCCGGUUGUGAUGCCAAUUGCAUCGCCGGGUAGCUAUGUUCGGAAAGGAUAACCGCUGAAAGCAUCUAAGCGGGAAGCCAACUCCAAAACUAGAUUUCCCUUCCUCCUUCGGGAGGACCGUAGACCCCUUGUAGACUACAAGGUUGAUAGGCCAGAUGUGUAAGCACAGCAAUGUGUUCAGCUAACUGGUACUAAUUGGUCGCGAGGCUUGAUCUU